CUCUGCAGGGAAGAGAUCCACGAGCAAGCUGCAAAUUAAUAACCUGGGCAGUUUCUGCCCCCUCGUGUUGCCGAGCUCUGGCUGCCCACCAGCCUGUGGGCUAGGACAGGUGCCCAGCUCCUGCCCCUGCAAAGGCAGAGGCAGCUGGCUGCAGCUGGGGAGAGAGAGGAGAGCAGGAAAGGCAGCCAGGGGCUGUCCAGCCCAGCAUCAGAGAACCACAGCCUCUCCACCAUGUGCAUUUUAUUCCCGCACCAGGUUGGUCAGGCUGGAGGAAAUGGUAUUUCCUGCCACUGCCAUCAGCUGGAAAUUGCUCUGCCAGCUCAAAAUUGCUUUCCUAAGGCUGGAGGGCAAAGACCUCAGGAAUGUGGGCAUAUCGAAGCCCAGAUGCUUUACCUGACCCCUGCCAAGGGAGGAUAUUACAAAUCUGAUUUAGGAGAAAAACCCAGUAAAGAAUACAGAGCGCACCUCCAACGUCUUCUUUAGGGUCAUGAUGUUUUCACUGCAGACUUCCACGUUGUUUAAGGUCACCUGAGGAAAAAAUCAAACCCAAGUAGAAUUCAUUGGAAUUUCUCAGCACCCCAGCCUUGAAUCCAUAUGUUUACUCCAUGCCCCGCCAACAGAACAAGCUGAAAUGUGAUCACCACUACUGUGAGAAAAGAUGCCCAGCUCCAGCUUCCCAGAGCCCACCUGCCACUGCUUCCUACAAGCAUGACAGAUCAGAGGUUCAAAGGUGAAGAACACAAGGAAGAUCAUCUGACAGCAAACACUUUGAAGACUGUGAGGUGCAGGCAUGUUACAACAAACCUGGUGUAUCUGCACUACCUGAAGUCAGACUCCAGCUCGGUGGUGGAGUGGUUGAUCAUGGCACAGAGACAGUCUAUGCUGGAGCUGGACAGAGCACGCCCAAUGCACUUCUUCACUAUGUAAAACACGUCAUCCACCAUGCUGGAGGUGAGCUGGCCCUUCUCGUAGCUGUCCAUGGCAACAGCCUGCAAAGAAAGCUGUCUCAGAGCCCCGAGGGAUCUCAUCCCGUGGGAUGCUCAGCAGAGGACUGGGGAGCACACAGAGAGAACCAUCUGAGGGUUUCUCAGCACGGUCAGAGCCCUACCUUGUUGACAGUCUCCCUCAUGAAGUAUUCCUCCAUGGUGAUGUAGUAGCCAAUGAGCUCUUGCAUGGUGCAGCUCAGCAGACAGUUGUUGAGGAGCUUGUCCAGGUAUUUUUGAUGCUCUACAGAAGAAGGAACCAUCAGCAGGGACCAAAUGGCAGAAAGCAGUUCCACCAAGUCCCCUUGCUACCUCCCUGAUGGGCACCCAAUGGACACACACCUGCCAAGCCCAACCUGGAAGAAAUCCCAGGCCUCAGCUGCAGAGCUGAAACUGCUGAGCUGAAUUUUGCAGGUGACAAAAGUGAUUUCCAGAGCUCCACCGAGUACCAAAACCCCGAGCCUGUUUUCCCCGUGGCCUCCACCUUUAGGAUUUGUGCCUGCAGUGCCCAGAGUCCCUCCCUCUUUUUGGGGACCUUGUUUGUUAUACUCUACAGUCAUUCAAUGCUCAGAGAUAUCUCCAUUUCUGGCUCCAAUGAACAGAGAGCCUGCAAGUCCAGGUAGUCAAGGUGUUACCUUGCUUUACCUCCUCUGAGGCCAUGGCAUCUCCCACCUCAAAAUCAGCUACUAUUCGUCUCUUGAUGAACCUCAAGUAGAGCUCACUGCGGGCGUUCAUCAGGGUGACUUCUGUUAAAAUAGGGUCAAGCUCCCUGGAAGGAACAGAGCAAGAACUGAGGCAGCAAGACUACAAAAGGAGAGGCACUAAUUUAAUUCAGCUAAUUAGUGUUUUCUGUUCUCUCACUGUGAGAUCCAUACUGUUCCUUUCCAUCUGUGCCUUUGAGUGGCAGAGCUCAGCGGAGUAACUGGUAUGUGCAAAGAAUGCACACACAAUCAAAAUGUCCUCAAAAAAUCAUUUCCAAGGAGGGAUCUCUACAAUACUGCUUUCUUCUUUGCUCCAAGAGUUUGCAACGCUCCCCCUCUUUUUUCCUCAUAGCUGUGAGGACAUCCACAUUAAAAUCACAGUGGUAAGGACUGCAAGGCUGAUAUAGCUUCAAAAUGAGCCCUGUUUGGAGUGGCAGGUUGGACUAGAGACCUUCCUCAGCCCUUUCCUACCUCAGUUUUGCUAUAAUUCUGUGAGCCCCAAGCGGCCAGUGUUAGAAAUGCCUGGUCCCUGCCAUCUCCUCAUGUGUGCCUUUGUGCACACAUCCACGUGUUUCUCUGAAAAUGAUGAAGAGUCUGUUUAAGCUCAACAGCUCAGGAAAUGUGAGACCAAAAAAAAAGCACGUGACAACGUGCAGAAUGCGGUAGUCACGUCAGAGGUGACCAUGAAAAAUAGAGAGACUGUCACAUCAGCAGCUUUUUCAUCAGUGUGCACAGAAGAAUUUCACAAAUCCUGCUCAAAGCCUCCCAACACAGCAGUGGAACAAGGAAAUGUUAUUUUAGAGAUGAAAAAGCAAAAGCUCAGGAAAGCUGGGAUGCAUGCAGAGUUACUCAGAGCAAACAGCAAGUAGAUCUUUAUAUUACCACUGAAACAAUUAGUUAUGCAGGCUCACAGACAGAUCUUGCUUGAAGAACCUAAGUCUUGUUUCAGGGCAUGUUUAAAAGUCAGGCAGUGCCAGAAGGGCUGGAUGCACUUUCAAAUGGCCUUCCUUAUGGGUUAUGUAAAUACUUAAGAUAAGAAAAGUAGGGAAAUUGAAAGCACUGCGGUUCAUUAGCAAAAAACUGAUGUUUCAGAGCUGCUGCUGCAGCAGCAGUACAGGUUAAAUAAGACCCAGAUUUAUUCCUGAUUCUGUCACAAACGAUCUGCCCAGGGAGCUGCUCCAUUUUGUGGGUUUCAAGGACUGUACUCUGGCCAUCAAAGAGCAGCGGGCACAGGCAACUAAAGUCUCAGCCCUUCAUGUGCAGUGAUACUGCCAGCCCUCAGCAAUGCUUAGGGCCGAGGCUUAAAAGUAAUGACUAAGCAAAACAAAGCCCCAAGACAGAAGCUGCCUUUAUGAAAGGGCAGAGAAGAGCACCUAACAAUUGGAUUUUAUGUGUUAGUAGCCACAAAACCUCUGGAAGACCGGGAGUUAUCUAAAUGCUAAGUAGUGUUAAUAACAGCUCAAGAGUGAAAGGUUAGAGCACAUAAAGACUUCUUCUUUGUACCUUGGUUCAAUCUUCUCUGCAGAAGAACUUCUCAUCAUGCUAUUCUGGACUUGCUGAAACUGCAAUCACAAAAAAAAAAAAGGGAGAGUCAUCAGUCUUUGCUGAUGACUUGGAGUUACCAGCUGCUUUUCGUGCUGUAGCCUAAGGAAGUGCUUACUCACUGGGGGUGAUGGGAAUGCUUUGCAGGAAGCACUGCCAGAGAAGGGAACUGCAUCAGUUCACCUCCCCCUCCAAGGAAGAGCUCGUCCUGCCAGGGAGGACAGUGGCAGGGGACUCCAGCAGAGGCACCAAGGUGUGUGACCAUGAGGCAGUUACAGCAGCCCUGCAUCUAAGCAGGAACAAGACAGCGGGGAGGGUGUGCAGAAAGCACCCUACAGACCUGCACAGCAAAGAAUCCUGUGCCCAGCGUGCAUUUACCACACUCCCAACGAGUCCUUCUCUGCAGCAGAAGGAACAGCUACAGGCUGAACCCCUUCAGCCAUCAUCAUAAAUAUGGAGCAAAGCCAAGUUUCUUUUAAUACACAGGGACAAACUUUGCUGCCUCUGUGACAGUGGGAGCCCCACGGAGCUGGAUAGAGGCCACAGUUGGCUGCACCAGGCAGUGUCACACUGCUCUUACCUGCCUGUGAUAGUCCCUCUCCUUUAUGAACUUGUCCACCACCUUCUCCACUUGCCGGUCACAUUCCACCUGCAGGUGCUUGAUGAGGGUGUAGAGCCUCCCUGGCCCGUAGUAGGUCUCCACGAUGGGCUGAUGGGUCUCCACAAUGCGAGCAAUUCCUGCGGGGAGAGGGGAAGCAGAAGAGACUCCACCAGGAGUUCCCAGAGCACGGCAGAGCUACACAGGUCCACCAACAGGAACAUCCUCUCCACUGCUCAUUGUAAGCACUGCAGUGCAAGUCUCCUGGAGUAGAAGCCACAUCUCUCCCUAAAGAGAGCUCCUGCUAUGCCAGUGUGCCAGCUGCCCUCCCAGCAAACAAGGCUCCCAUGCUGCUUCUUGAAGAGCCAGGCCUGGAGGCACCAACAGCUGCUCAGCCUUAAGGGAUCUGAUUUGUUUGUCUGGAGAGCUGGAAGCCUGAGGAAACCUCCAGGGAAUACCCACACGUUUUGAGGAUGCAGAGAACGGGAAGAGUCUGAUUCCUGGAGGAACCCAACAAAUCCUUUGCAAAUCCACUUUGUGCCUGUGCAAGCUGUAGGUAGGGAAAUCUGCUUAUUGUGAUGCCCUCUCCUGGCUGGAAUAAAUUCUGUGAGUGGUGUCCCUGUCCCUCGAGUGUGACACUUCUGUAGCUCAAUGGGGAAUGAGGCAUUUUGUGAGCCAAACUAAAAAAACAUUUAAAUUCAUGGACAAUCUCAUCAGGGACUGUUUUUAAUCCAUCAGGAAAGAGGGAAGGAAGAUUACCUUCGA
This is a long non-coding RNA of Myiozetetes cayanensis, 4589 nucleotides long. RefSeq lists it as uncharacterized. Lineage: Eukaryota; Metazoa; Chordata; Aves; Passeriformes; Tyrannidae. The record is from RefSeq and is a predicted model, not a curated record. The transcript is spliced from 3 exons.